Molecule: transfer RNA, 81 nt
Filed under: Bacteroidota bacterium
Lineage: Bacteria; Pseudomonadati; Bacteroidota
Also listed under: 2 other names
Description: Bacteroidetes bacterium (activated sludge metagenome) tRNA-Leu
Rfam family: tRNA
About the family: Transfer RNA (tRNA) molecules are approximately 80 nucleotides in length. Their secondary structure includes four short double-helical elements and three loops (D, anti-codon, and T loops).
Source: RNAcentral
GCUCAGGUGGUGGAAUGGUAUACACGUACGCUUGAGGUGCGUAUGCCGCGAGGCGUGGGAGUUCGAGUCUCCUCCUGAGUA